AGCAACAAUAGCUUAAUAAAGAGCAUUGGUCUUGUAAGUCAAAGGUGAAUAAAUAUAUUUCUUGUUGCUA
RNAcentral lists this transfer RNA (70 nucleotides) under Nassarius sinarum. RNAcentral describes it as "Nassarius sinarus tRNA-Thr". It matches the Rfam family "tRNA". From Rfam's summary of the family: Transfer RNA (tRNA) molecules are approximately 80 nucleotides in length. Their secondary structure includes four short double-helical elements and three loops (D, anti-codon, and T loops). The record is from RNAcentral. Lineage: Eukaryota; Metazoa; Mollusca; Gastropoda; Neogastropoda; Nassariidae.